GGCUCACACUCUGGAGAGCGGCCCCGCCAACACGGGGCCCACCGAAGGGGCAGGCGGCGCAUGCCGCUAUCUCUCAGGUACCAAGGACAGAGGGGAUACA
Molecule: non-coding RNA, 100 nt
Organism: Massilia sp. LC238
Lineage: Bacteria; Pseudomonadati; Pseudomonadota; Betaproteobacteria; Burkholderiales; Oxalobacteraceae
Source: Rfam